This is a non-coding RNA of Rattus norvegicus (Norway rat), 12250 nucleotides long. The record is from RefSeq and is a predicted model, not a curated record. NCBI's taxonomy places the organism in Eukaryota, Metazoa, Chordata, Mammalia, Rodentia, Muridae.
AGGCAACUCUUAUAAGGAUAGCAUUUCACUGUGUUGGCUUACAGGUUCAGAGUUCAGUCCAUUAUCAUCAGGCUGGAGUAUGGUAGCAUCUAGGUAGGCAUGGUACAGGAGGAGCUAAGAGUUCUAUAUCUUCUUCUGAAGGCCGCCUGGAGAAGACUGUCUCCCACAUGGUGAGGAGGAAGGUCUCGUUGCCCGUCCCCACAGUGACAGAUUUCCUCUAACAAGGUCACACCUUCUAAUAGUGCCACUCCCUAGACCAAACAUAUUGAAACCACCACACCCUCUAUUCGUUUCUUUUCUUUCUUAACUUGCAAUCUAUCAGUGAAAGUAAGAGUGUGUUCCUUUUCCAUCUUCUGCUCUUUUAUUUCUUUUCCUUAACUCAUCCUCUUUUUCAUUUCUCUCUAAACGAAACAGACCAAUGACAAAACACCUGAGUAAUAUUUAUCCGUUAGUUCCUUAAAUGAUUGUCAGAUUUUCUUUUUCAGUAAAACUAUCUUGAAGGAGUUUUCCCAAUGGUAUACAGGCUUUAACGAUACGCUCAAUUAUUUUAUAAUUGUAGAUGGGACUGUCUAAUUUUUCUAGUGCUUCUUGAGUUGGUCUCUUUCUAGGGAUUUGUUUGUAGGUCUCCAUUUCCAGUUGUAUGACGUUCUCUUUGAUGACCCACUGCACUGAUUCUUCAUUUUCAUUGUAGGUAGCAGUUGGUUGUGCCAACUCCCCUCUAUUCCGUUGGCCUCGCCCACUUACAUUUUUUUGUUACUCCUUUCCUUCUUUUUCAUCUGUUUUCUUGUUUAGUUGGUUUUGAAGCAGAAUUCCUUGGACUUAGCAUGGCUUCAAUACUCUAUGUAACGGAAGAUGACCUUGAACACUACAUCCUCCUCCCCCUACGACCUGUGUGCUGAGAUUACAGCAUAUGCCGCCAUGUCUGGCUUUGCCUUUUCUGUUGCUGUUUGGCACAUUUUGCUAUUCCUUUUCUGUCUUCCUUUCCGAGAACUGCCUUUAAAUAAGACGUCUCUAAGGACAGUGCUGGCCGUGUGCCAGGGUUUCGGUAAGCUAGUACUUCCGUUGUAAUUCAAUUUCUGGUAUUUUCCUGGUCUCUUCAGUUUGUUGAUCUGAUAGAUUAACAUUAAUUGAUUUUUUUCAGUGUUGAAUCCUUUUAUAUCUGUGAUAGAUCAGAGUAGGGUGUGGUAUAUAAAUCUUAUUAUUAGAUUGGAUGUCAAACCACGUCCUGCCUCUCCGAUGGGAGUACCUGGGUGUCAUAGACAUGCCACCAAGUGGAGGUGGGGCAAAGUCUGAAAUGGGGUGUCCACCGUGGUUCCCAGUCUCCUUUCUGGGUACCGGGGGCAUCUAUGUGCCUGGUGAAGAGGAUAAGCAUGUGUCCAGAACAAGUGGAAUCUGGUCUGAUUCAGAGUGAGUGCCCAGUGUACUGGAUGGAUUGGAAGGAGAGAGAGCCUUCCUCAGGAGUCUUCGACAUGACUCUAGUUGAAGGCCUUCCCUGUAGCAAUUUUUAAUGAAGCAGCUCUCUGAGAUGAUCCUUGAUUGUUCAUAUUGAGGGCAGAAUGUAGACACAUACACUUUAUUUGAGGUGAACAAGACAUUAUAUAUCUCUUGCAGAAAGGAAUACCUAGGAAGGGAAGGUCAUUGGCUGAAGGCUCAAGGUUAUUUAGAUACCUCAUUGGCAUGGAGAAGAAAUCCAGGUAUUAUGCUAUAUUACUGAGCGUCCAUGGUCCUCUCAGAGGGGGAUAUGGUUAUGUGUUCAAGAGCGGAUAUAGAGACAGGCUCUACUCCUUCGGUCAGAUCUCUGAGAUUCUUGAAGUUUGAGCUCAUUCACCCUUAUAGUUCUUACACCUGUCUUAACAUGGUCCCAGAUGCCUUGCAACUGGAUCUGCCAAAAUCCUGCUGGAAACAUUUGCAUCUAACUUCACUGGCCAUAUUGAUGUAUGGUUUUCCUAUAUAUUGGCCAGAUUUUAGUAUUAAGGUGACACUGACCUCACAGAAUUACUUAUGGUAUAAAUUUUUCUUAAGUGCUUGUUACAAUUUGCUAAUUUACCAUCUGGGCUAGGUACUUUCUCUUUUUAGGAGGUGAUUUAAUAUUGGUCCAACUCUUUUAAUAGACAUAGGCAUAUUCAGAUCAUCAAUUAAUUAUUCUGUAAGUUUUAAUAGGUUGUGUCUUUCAAGGAACUGGUCUGUUUUAUCAAGGUUAUCUAAUUUGUGGCCACUGAAUUAAUCUUCCUAUUCUGUUCAUUUGUGAGACUGGUAGUGGUAUUCCUUUUUUCAUCCAUGACAUUAUAUUUAUUCAUGCCUAACUUUUACUCUCAGUGUAGCUAUUAUAGCUCUGUUCUUUCUUUGUUUCCUACAAAGAAGCUUAGCUGACAGACUGUUGGUCUUCUUUUUAUGCAUUAGAUGCUAUAAAUUCUCCUACUAGCGUUGCUUUUGCUGUAUCCUACCUGUUUUUGUUUUGUUUUGCUGUAUCCUACCUGUUUUUGUUUUGUUUUGCUGUAUCCUGGCUGGAGAGAUGGGUUUUUUGUGUGUGUGUGUGUGUGUUUUGCUAAACAUUGUCUUUGAUUGUGAUUUAUUCUUUGACCCUGGGGUUAUUUAGAAAGGUGGUAAGAUCUGAUAAUUUUGUUACCUUAAAAUUUAUCCAAAGUACAAACUUUCUCAUGCCACAAGCAGAGCUUAGUCACCUUUGCUGUAACACCCAGUCGUCACAUCUGGGGUCCUCAGGAUGCUCAGUCCAGUCACCUGUCUUAUAUAGCCCCCUUCUGCUCCAUACAAAUGCAACCUGCCAGAUUUGCUGCUCCCCGAAGCAAACAGACAAGCAUCAAUGAUACCUUUUUCAGUCAUGUUGGUCCUCCCUAAAACAAAACAAACAAACAAACAAACAAACAAACAAACAAAAAACUCCUGAGUGCUUUCUGUAUACUCAACAAUUAAAACUCCCCAUAGGAAAUCUGCUUGGGUAACAUCCUGGUCUCCAAGAUAGACUUGGACUCUCUCACAAGCCCCUCCCUCCUGCUACAAGUGAGCUCUGGGCUCUAUCUUAAGCUCCUACUUCCUGCAAGGCAGGGUGACCCAUUCUUUUUGAGAUUUGUAAGUAAUAUGCCCCUUCUGUUACUCUAUGUUUUGCUGUUUUGCCUCUUCUGUGACUGUACACCUGAACUAACCUCACCUGCUCAAAGGAUACCCUACAGCACGUCUAUCUUGGUAGAGAGAAGUUAGAUGCACGUCAGGCAAGAUGUACAAGGGUAUUUAUCAAUAUAAAUAUGUUUGCCAUAUGAUUGCCUGGUCACAAAUUGGCCAAGGCUACUCAUUGUGACAAAGAAGUGUCCUAUGGGAUCUUCAUAGGAUGGCUCGGCAGAUAAAAGUGGUGGCACAAGCCCAAUAACCUGGGUUUGAAGUUCAGAAAGCACAUUUAAAAAGCCAGAUGUGAUGAUACACAUCUGUAAUCCCAGUAUCCUUAUAGCAAGAUAGAAGGUGGAGACAGGAGAAUCUGUUGCUUAUGUACACAGUGAGACAGCAGAAACAAAGACUCUGCCUAAAAACAAACCAGGACAGAUUCCCAAAAGUUGACUUUUGACCUUCACACUUAUGCCCUGGCACAUAUGAGCCCCUGGAACCCUUUCAGGACAUGGCUAAAAUCUACAGCCACUAUUCAGAUAAAGACGUCAGUACCAAACCAGAGAAACUCUGAGAAGUGUAUUUUUUUAAAUUUUUAAGUAUAAAGUAAUCUAUUUUUUAAGAUUUAAAAUUGUAUGUAUGAGUAUUUCCCUGAAUGUAUUUAUGUAUACUACGUGCUUUCCUAGUGCCCACAAAGGCCAGAAGAGUGUGUCAGGUCCUGAAACUGGACCUAUGAAUGGUGGUGAACUUCACUGGGGUUUCUGGUAACUGAACCCUGGUCCUCUGCAAAGGCAGCAAGAUCUUACCCACCGAGCCAUCUCUCUGGUCCCCAGGAUGUGGCGAUCUUAAGGGGACUGUUAAAAUUAAGUUCCGGUUUCUUGUUUUAUGUUUUUCAAUGCACAGGGUCUCAAUCACACAAGGUAAGCACUCUACUGUUGAGCUACAUAUUCUGUCCCAUAAUUUUUAUGCUCCUUAAAAUGUGAUCAAAGAAUACAUUCCAUAGGAUUCCAGUCCUUUGGCCAUUGUGAAAUUUCACUUUAUUCCAUGGUGAACAUAGAAUUAAUCCUUGGGGAAUAAUGAACAAAGAAUUUCUUCUCCAUAAUUGUCGAGUCCACUGCUUUAUAUAAAGGAUUAGAUCAAGUUCCAUUAUUGUGUGGUCCACUGCCUGAAUUCUUACUCAUUUUGACUACAAUUGGGUUUCAUAGUAACUGGAACAAAGAGGUUGACUAAUGGUUUUGUUGACUCCAAAGAACUGUAGGUUGAAAAUCCUCACUGUAACUAUGAGGGGAAAAUCUAUUUUUCCUUAUAAUUCUGACCAAUUCUGAUUCAUGUCUUUGGAGCUAUAAUUUGCAUAGCAGAAAGUGUCUGGAAAAUUUUAAAUUCUCUUCUUGGUAGAUUAAAGCUUUCAUUGAGACAGAUUCCACAUGUCUCAGUUAAUGCUGUCUGUAUAGCCUUAAGGACUAUCUUGUCAGAUAUUAAUUACUUCUUUUUGUAAAGCUUCUAUCACUAAGUCUUAGCCAUAUCUAAUAAAAAGGUACAAAUGUCACUCAUCUUUUAAUUGAGGAAUUUUAUCCUCAUAUAUUUAAUGUAAAUGUGUGUUUGGGUUUAAGUUCGUAAUUUCACCACUCUACCUGUAUUUGUCUGUUUCACCUUCCUUCUAAAUAACUGAGUAAGAUAGGUACUCCCUUCCCCUCACCAUUACCUUAAAAAUUAUAUCCACUUUCACCCUUAGUGUUUAACAGAGAUCGUAAUAUGCAUUCUAGACAUAAUGAGCUCUAAUGUUGAUUAGUAUUAUUGCCAUUUCCUCUGUCGACACAAAGAUUCUUCACCUCACUCAUCUCCACCUGUGUUGUAUGCUAAUGCUGUCAUGUGUUGUAACAUAAAUGUAUCAGAGGCCAUAAGAAAGUGUUAAUAUUCCUUUAAUAGCCAGUAUUCAUUUAAAUAGACCUGUGCAGUUAUCAACUUAAUUCUUUUUCUCUUCUUUAUUGUGGUAAAGCACAUAAAACAUAAAAUUUUCCAUUCAACCACUUAAAACGUGCAAUUAUAUGCCAUUAUGCACACUUACGAUGCCGUGCAGCCACCUCUACACUCCAUUUCCAGGGCUUGUCAUUAUUCCAAAUGGAAACUUGAUACCAGUUAGACCACAGCUGACCACCACCCUGCCUUCAUUUCUGGCCACCCCUUCUGACCCUAUGGGUUUGCUUAGGUGCCUACAUCUCGUAUAAGUAGAAUCACACUAUCUUCAUAGUUCUGUGCCUUGUUCAUAUCGCCUAAGAUAAUGUUUUCAAGGUUGAAAGAAUGACUUCAGGUUCCAUUCACUUUCCAAGUAGAAUGACAUGCCAGCUGAGAUAUUCAGGAGUCCCUCGUCAUGUGUAAGGGGGAUUCCAGAACCCUCUCCAAAUAUACAAGUGACUCACAUAAAAUAGGAUCACAUUUGCAUAUAACUAUAUAUAUGUACAUAUACACACAUACAUAUAUCUGUCCUAAUCUCAUAUUUUUAUAUCAUCAACAGCUUACUUACCAUACCUGACACAAUGUAAAUAUUAUAUAAAGAGUUCUUAUUGCACUGUUUGAGGAAUGUUAUGGGAAAAAAUGUCUGUGCAUGCCCAAUACAGAUGUGUUAGUUUUCCACAUAUUUUCAAUCCUUGUUGAAUCCUUGCAGAACCUGGGUUUGCCAGGGUUGGGGGUGGGUGAUCAGUCAACAGUCUGUUUCAUAACCUAUGUCAACUCUUGUCCUGGGAGUAUGACUCAUUGUGGAGUCCUUGUUUACUCCAUUUGGUUUAUUUCUACAUUUAAACUCUUGUGAAUGACACUGUUGAUAGUGGCCAGCAGGUGCCCGUGUCCCCGUUUAACUCUUCUGCUGUAGAUUGGAUGCUUGUGCCUCUCUAGAGCUCAUAUAGUGAACUAACCCUCAAGGUGAGUAUAUUAGGACAUGGGGAAGCCAUUCAGUUAAAGCCAAAAAGUGGGAGUCUCAGUGAUUAUGUUAGUGUCCUUACUAAAAAGAUGCCAAAGGUUGGAUUAAACUCCCUCAGCCACUCAGCAGAAAGACUUUAGGAAGAAAGGGACCAUCUUGCAAGUCAGGAAAUCCCAACUUUCAGGCUUCAAAUGAUGAGAAAAUAAGAUUCUGUUGUUUGUUUGAGAGAGGGUCUUGCCAUGCAUUACUGCCUGGCCUGGUACUCACUGAGUAGCCCAAGCCAUCUUCAAACUCACAGUAAUCCUCCUGUCUCAGCUUCUGCAGUGAUGGAGUACAGGUAUGUACCACUACUCUGGGCUUGUUUUUGUUUUUAUUUUUUAAGCCAUACAAUCCUUAAUAGUUCCUUAUGGCUGUUUCUCGUGACUGAUCCCUACCUAGAGGAGGAAUCACGGGAUCAAGUGGAUCAAACCACACACUGUCUUCCGCAGUGGUCACAGCUUUGUUCAUUCACCAUGUUCGUGUUUUCGUUCUCCUGACAGUGACUUUGGUUCAGCAAUGUUUCUUUGUUGUUGUUUUUGUGUUUGUGUUUUUGUCUAUUUUGAAGUCAUUGCCUGUGUCUGUGGUGUCAGUUUCACAAAGGUCAUUUCCAAAUUGAACCCCAUGAAGUCUCCCUGUGUGUUAUUCUCCUAAUAAUUUCCUUCUAAGAAGUUUUCCUGAUUCAGAUCAGAUUCACUCAAAAUAAGUUUCGUUUGAGUGUCUGGCUUCACUCUUUCACAGGUGGCUCCCUAGUUCUUCUGGCACGGUUGGCUGGGAAUACAACCCUCUCCCCAUUGCAUGGAUUCAGGCCCUUGCUGAAAAUCAGUAGACUCUCUAGAGUCCAUUAUCUGGAGUCUAGCACCAUACUCCUUUUUUAUUCCUGUAGCAUCAUACUAAUAUUUUGAAUCAGAGAGUGUGAUGGCACCAACUUUGCUCUCUUUCCAGAUUACUUUGGCAAUAGGGGCUCCCUUGAGAUUCGAAGUGAGUUUUAGGAUGGAUUUAUCUGGUUCUACGGAGUUAUCAUUGGGAUGUUAAUGAAUUUUUAUAUCACUUUGAGUAAUAUUGGCAACUCAACAAUAUUAAGUUUUACAAUGCAAUAACCUAAGCUAGCUCUUCACUGUGUCUCCCUUUCGGCUCUGCUGUAAUUUUCAGCAUAUAAAUUCUUUGCCUCCUAGGUAAGUUUAUCCCUAAGUAUUUUAUCCUCCUCAAUACAAUUGUAAUGAAGAUUGCUUUCUUCCAUUCAUUUUCUGCUAUUUGUCCUUACAAUUCAGCAAUACGGCUGAGUUUCUCAUGUUCCUGUUGUAGCCUGUGAUUGUACUAAGUUCAUCUAUUAGUUCCAAUAGUUCAGAUGGAAAAUAGCUAGGGACCCAUAAGUGUGGGAUCUCACCACCCAGAAACAAACACUGUCCUUUAUAACACACAUCCUCUUCUUCCUUCCUUCUCCCUAGUUGCUCUGCCCAGUACUUCCAAUACUACAUAGAGUGCACACAACUCCUCCUCUUCCUCCUCCUCUUCCUCUUCCUUCCCUUCCCUUCCCUUCCUCCUUUUCCUCUUCCUCUCCUCCUCCCCCUCCUCCUCCUCCUCCUCCUCCACUUCCUCCUCCUUCCCUUCCUCCUCCUCUUCUUCCUCCUCCUCUUCCUCUCCUCCCCCCUUCCUCCUCCUCCACUUCCUCCUCCUUCCCUUCCUCCUCCUCUUCUCCCUCCUCCUCUUCCUCUCCUCCUCCCCCUCCUCUUCCUCUUCCUCCUCCUCCUCUUUUUCCUUCUCCUCCUCCUCUUCCUCUUCUUCUUCCUCCUCCUUGAUUUUAGAGAGAACCACUUUCGCCCUUCCCCACUGGGUGUAGCACUACUUUUAUGGUAACCUUUCACAUCUCAGUUUGGAUGUUGAGGAGUCAUGGGAGAACAUUUAAUUUUGCCAUAUUCUUUAUGUGCAUCGAUUGACAAUCAUGUGCCUCUUCACUUCGUUCUGUUAACGUAGUGUAAUUUUGUUGAUGGAUCUGCAUAUCUCAAAAACAUCCCUGCCUCCUGAGAAAAAUUCCAUCUGAUCCUGUUGUGUAAGGAGGCAAUGUUCUGGUGAAUUAGUUGCCGGUAAUCUGCUGAGAAGUCUGGCAUCAGUACUCACAGGGGUAAUUGUUUGGAGAGACGUGGGGGUUGGUAGACUCUUUGGCUCUGGUGUCAGUAUAAUGCUGAUCUCAUAGAAUGAGUUAGGAAAUGUGCCCUUAGCUUCAGUGUUUUGGAAGAGUUUCAAAAGGACUGAUAGCAAGCCAUGCAUUCCGUAAGGAUGAGGAAAUGUUUAGAAAAUGUGCUUUGGGGUGAUUUUGCCCUUGUGCAAACAUCACUAACUGUGCAUACACAGACCUGAAUGGUAUUGGUCAAUCACUUGACAUGGCCUCUUGAUGCAAUAAAGAGGUGAUACAAGCACGGGAUGCAGGAGGCUGCUGCCAGAGCCACAGAGUCUGUUCUAUAGUCAGCUGCUUCUUAUCCGUGGGGGGAAUACACUCUAAAUUAUGAUUAAUAAGCAGGAUAAAGGAAUAAUCAGUCCUAUUAUUUAUGGUCAUCUUCAAAUGACGGACUGUACAUAUUUGUGCGUGCGUACAUGUGUGCUUGGGGGUGUGCAUGCAUGUAGAGGCCAGAAGAAGACAACCUUUAGGUGUUUUAUUUAGGACCCAUCUGCAGAGUUUCUCAUCUUCCUGGAAUUGGGUAAUUAGGCUGAACUAGACUGGCACUGAGCCCUGGGAAUCCACUUGUCUCUACCUCCCUUUCCAGCACUGAAACCACAGGACAUCACACCACACUCUUCUUUUCUAUGUGGGCAGGGAGCUCAGGUCUGAUGCUUUCGUAGCAAACACUUUACCAACCAAACUACGUCCCCAGCUCCUGCUUACAUUACUUUGUACACCAGGUACUACAGUAGCCGUGUUAGCACCACUUUUCCAGUAUAGCUAGCUCGCCUAUCUGGCCUUUCAGAUUCUCAUAGUCAAGAUGUCAGCUAAGCACAUAGUGACUGGAAGGCAAAUGAUGCCAGCCAGCUCUCCUUUAACAAAACCAAUUUCGCUAUUUCCCUAUGGGGCCCCAGAAGGGAAUUCUGUACCCCAGUUCAGCUGGAAGCAAAAAAGGAAGAUAAUCGUCCCAGUCCCUUAUGUUGGGGUGUGUAGAGGGCCGCUUUAACAUUCGCCACCACAAGAUGGCGCUGGCUUCCACUGUGCCCCACGUGGAAGGCCAGGAUAGCUUCCGCCAUUACAAGAUGGCGCUAGCCUCCGCCGCGCCAGCCAACUUCCUUUCAGGAAGUUAACUGUGUGCGCAUGUACAAGAGUGCCUUCGUGCCAGGUCUUUGCCCACUCUGGGGCGUGCCUUAUGAGAUCAUGGGUGAGCGACCAAUCAGGUGUGGAUGCGCCGCGCUAGGGUGUAUAUAAGCCAUGCCAUGCGGGCGCGCGGGGCUCUCCUUAAGAUUUAAUAAAAGUUUUGGCUGCCGCAAGGAUUCGUAUGUCCCCGCGUGUUUUCUUGCUGGCGAGGUCGCACGUGGGACGGGGUGGAUGAUUCUGGUUAUUUUAUGAAUUAUAGGUAUGUUGUCAUUUUAAGAAAUACUUUACAAAUGUUGUAGCUUUGGACAGGGAGGAAACUAGAGAGCUCAGAUUCAGGGAUUUCUACCUUUCCUUUCCUGUUCUCUAUCCUUCCUUCUUAGGCAAAGAAGAGGGGGGUGGAAGAAAAAAGGGGAUAUAGUAAUAUCAAAGAAAUUAGAGGAAUAAACAAAUAGGGAUAGGUUAACAAAUUUACUAUUAAACAAAACAUUACAUAGCCAUACCUUACAUUGGUAGAAAUCUUUAUAAUUGAUGCAAAGUUAAAGUUAUAAUGUUUUACAUUGGUAAGAAUUUAUUUUAUACAGAUUGGUAUGGAUUUCUUAUAUUGAUACAAAAAUUGAGAUUAAUAUUGUUACUCUUAGAUAGGCACUGUGCCUAUGCACCUCAUUUGAGAAUACAAAGCUUAGACCCAGUCCUUCUAUAACUGCUAUUACAAACUGUUCUUAGAUGAUUAAGCAAAAUGAGUUAAGGGCCAGAUAGCAAACUCAUGGUUCUUAGUUAACUACAAAAGGGUGUUUUUGAGAUAUUUCAAUUAGUAAUGGCUGAGAAUAGUCAAUGAUUAACAGUUCAGAACUGCUUUGCAUAGAUAGAUAGUCUUCAAAGGCAUCAAAAGUCCACAGAAUACAACAUUUAUGGCUGUUUUAUUUAUUAAAGAUCAGUUGAUUAAAGACAUGUCUAUGCCUGAAAGCAUCCCUUUCUUAGAUUCAAAGAAGAAAUUAAACAUCAAUGGAGUUCCUCCAGUUGUGGCGAGACAGUCACUAGGCAAGAAUUGCCUCAAUUCAUCUACAGACAAAAAUACUGUCCAGAAAAGGACACACAAUGCGGAAUAGUCGACUGACAGCUCUGCCAAGGCAGGGUAAUCAGUCCUUCAAAAUUCUACAUCGCAAAGGUCUGUCAGACAAUCCUGGGCCAGAAGGUUGAAGAUUGAUGCUCCACCAUUUUGAGGAAUGAGAGACUGUCCAGGAAGUCAACUGUCUGUACAAAUUGGUUAAGUUUUGGAAAUUAUGUUUUAUGUGUCUUUAUUUUCAGGUAAUGUUUAAGUAGUUCUCAGAUUCCUGACCAGGUCAAAGACUGGUUGUAGUCUUAUAGAUAACCCAAGUUGUUUAGCAAUGAGAAAGAUGAUAUAGAUUUGAGCGGAUGGUUUUCAGAUGAUAUACAAGCUAAAACCAGGACGUAAUUUAGGUGUAGAGUUGUAAGCCUUUUAAGUUCGUAUAGAUGGUAGAGUGCUUUAUCUAAGUUGACAAAAUUGAUAGACGGGGUGUAUCUUAUACCUUACAAAUUACAUAAUUGUAGUAAUUGUACUCAAUUUAUAUCUGAGAGAAAAAAGCCUUUUAAUUGGACAAAAAAGGGGAAAUGUUGUAGAUUGCCCUGGUGCUGUUUGUAUUUUGAUGCUAAUUCUGCUUCCUCAAGAGGGGCUGCCCUGAUGAAGAGUGGAUCAUGUACUCAGGCUUAUUGGGGUUGGAGCUUGACCACAAUACCAUCAUAACUGUAAAUCAAGCUACAGUGUCACUAAAAGACAGAAAUCUUCAGCUGCCUUGUGUUGUGGGACCACCACUGUAUAAGCAAUCUGUCAUUAACCAAGGUGAUGUUACAAGGCCACUCAGGAACUUGGUGCGGGAAACCCGACCUUGAUACACAUGGCCUGAUCUCAGCAGUUUUCUGGAGCCUUGACAUAAACCUCUGAUCGAGACAGCCACCGAGAGCUAAGAAGACAAUCCUCUCUGAUACCUCAUUGUCCAGCUGUGCAUUAUUUCAUUACUAACUUGUAGGGAUUUUAUAGGUAUUUUUCAUUUUCCACACACUCCCAGCUGGCUCCCUUAAACUUGACUCUCUUCAUGCUUAUAAUUUAUAAGCGUGAAGGUAAAUAUGGUUUUUCAAACUAUGGAAAGGGAGAAAACAAUGAGCCAAAGAGAGGCUAGAAGGGGUCUUGUGGUGCCAAGAAGUACUAGUCUGCACUUUUACAUGUGAGUGUGGAGAAGAAUGGUCUCCAUGCUGGCAGACCGGUUUGCCGUUACUUUAAAGAUCCUCCCCGAGUUAAUAAUGAUGUUCAGUCUCUCACUGCUUCUGGGAUGCUCAUUCCCAGAAUGGCGGCGGCUUUUAGAAUACAGUCAUGAAUUGCUUGGUACUUUCUCCCAUGGCUAGUGGAGAAGUCUGUGUGCUCUCCCCUGGAACCUGGAGAGUCUGUGACUGACUGCCUCAGUCAGCGCAGUAAACCGCCAUGUACAGCGGCCUUUUUCUCUCGGGCCACCUGUGCUUAGAACUUAGUCACCGUGCUGCAUAGAAGCCCAGGGCGCCACAGAGAGAGGUCAUGUGAUGUUACGGCAGCCAAGACCAACGCCGAGACCAACAUCCCAGGCUAAGUUCACAGCCAAUUUACUAAGUUACUAAGUUACGGGUUACCAUUACUGCAUUAACAUUAACUGACCCUGUGUGCAAAAGACCCCUUAUAUAUUUCCAACUUUCAGAACUUCGUCAUCCCCGAGUCUUUGAGCGCUCCCAGCUGGGGCCACAAAUUGUAUGGAGCCAAGACAAACCAUCCCCGCAGUUCUUCUCUGAAUCCCUAACCCGCCCAGUCUGUGAGCAUAAUUAAAUGGCUGUUUUAGGCAAUCCAA